This 64-nucleotide transfer RNA is filed under the name Theopompa sp. FY-2016a. RNAcentral describes it as "tRNA-Leu". The record is from RNAcentral. Lineage: Eukaryota; Metazoa; Arthropoda; Insecta; Mantodea; Gonypetidae.
UCUAUUAUGGCAGAUCAGUGCAAUGGAUUUAAGCUCCAUAAACAAAGUUUUACUUUUUUUAGAA